Molecule: ribosomal RNA, 455 nt
Filed under: Leiobunum sp. NCHU:ZOOL:14874
Lineage: Eukaryota; Metazoa; Arthropoda; Arachnida; Opiliones; Sclerosomatidae
Description: partial 16S ribosomal RNA
Rfam family: Bacterial large subunit ribosomal RNA
Source: RNAcentral
GCCGCAGUAGCCUGACUGUGCUAAGGUAGCAUAAUCAUUAGGUUCCUAAUUAGAAUCUGGUAUGAAUGGAUGAAUGGGGAGAAGCUGUCUUCAUGCUAUUGUUUGAAGUUAAAAUUUUAGUAAGAAUGCUAGAAUGGACUUAUGGGACGAUAAGACCCUAUAAAGCUUUAUUGAAUAAUUUUAGGUAUCUUAGCUUAUCCUAAGGUAAAUUCAAUUUGACUGGGGCGGUUAGUAUUUUAACAUACUUAAAUGUUCAGGUAGUAAGGAUCCAAUACUAUUGAAGUGAGAGUAAGUUACUCUAGGGAUAACAGCAUGAUAUACCCUUGGAGUUCUAAUCGAAGGCUAUGUUUAUGACCUCGAUGUUGAAUUAAUUUGAUUAUAUGGUGAAGAAGCUAUAUGAGUUAGUCUGUUCGACUAUGAGAUAAUUACAUGAUUUGAGUUCAAACCGGUGUGAG